Molecule: long non-coding RNA, 460 nt
Organism: Apodemus sylvaticus (European woodmouse)
Lineage: Eukaryota; Metazoa; Chordata; Mammalia; Rodentia; Muridae
Exons: 3
Source: RefSeq, a predicted model, not a curated record
UGUAUGUAUGUGUCCACAGAGUAGGGCAGAAUUCAGGGUGACAGAGAUUCAAGCUGUGAAGUCAUGACUUCAGGAUCCAGAGAUGCACAUUGCUAACUGAAGAGGCAACAGAACUGAGACUGAAUACAAAGGAGAAAAUGAGCUGAGCUGCAGUGUGUCGCUUUGCUUCCUGUCUGAAGAUUAAAUGUGACCAGCGGCCUUGUGUGACUGCCAACAUGCCUUUUCCACAAGGUCAGUGAAGUCUCCUCGCCUGAGCCAGCACCUGCCUGGCUUUCUGUGAGCCCUGAACCACACCUGUUUCUGGUUGAUUCUGCCAACUUUCUCUACCUGAUGUGUGAGCCUCCAGCCCUCCAACAACAGAGAGCAUGGUACUCUGCUUUCUCUGAUUGUAAGGCUGUCAUUGCAGAGAGUCUCAGUCUCUCUCCUUCCACCUAAGGGGUUGUUGUCCUCUUCAUUAUAC